This 1289-nucleotide ribosomal RNA is filed under the name uncultured bacterium. Its description in RNAcentral is "bacterial SSU rRNA". It matches the Rfam family "Bacterial small subunit ribosomal RNA", at positions 91 to 1399 of the family's 1533-position model. The record is from RNAcentral.
CUUAGUGGCGGACUGGUGAGUAACGCGUGAGGAACCUGCCUUUCAGAGGGGGACAACAGUUGGAAACGACUGCUAAUACCGCAUGACGCACUUUGAUCGCAUGGUCGAAAUGCCAAAGAUUUAUCGCUGAAAGAUGGCCUCGCGUCUGAUUAGCUAGUUGGUGAGGUAACGGCCCACCAAGGCGACGAUCAGUAGCCGGACUGAGAGGUUGACCGGCCACAUUGGGACUGAGAUACGGCCCAGACUCCUACGGGAGGCAGCAGUGGGGAAUAUUGCACAAUGGGGGAAACCCUGAUGCAGCGACGCCGCGUGGAGGAAGAAGGUCUUCGGAUUGUAAACUCCUGUUGUUGGGGAAGAUAAUGACGGUACCCAACAAGGAAGUGACGGCUAACUACGUGCCAGCAGCCGCGGUAAAACGUAGGUCACAAGCGUUGUCCGGAAUUACUGGGUGUAAAGGGAGCGCAGGCGGGAAGACAAGUUGGAAGUGAAAUCUAUGGGCUCAACCCAUAAACUGCUUUCAAAACUGUUUUUCUUGAGUAGUGCAGAGGUAGGCGGAAUUCCCGGUGUAGCGGUGGAAUGCGUAGAUAUCGGGAGGAACACCAGUGGCGAAGGCGGCCUACUGGGCACCAACUGACGCUGAGGCUCGAAAGUGUGGGUAGCAAACAGGAUUAGAUACCCUGGUAGUCCACACCGUAAACGAUGAUUACUAAGAGUGUAGGAGGAUUAACCCCUUCAGUGGCGCAGUAAACACAAUAAGCAUUUCCACCUGGGGAGUACGGCCGCAAGGUUGAAACUCAAAGGAUAUGAUGGGGGCCCGCACAAGCAGCGGAGCAUGUGGUUUAAUUCGAAGCAACGCGAAGAGCCUUACCAGGGUUUGACAUCCUGCUAUAGAAGUAGAGAUACAUUAGGUGCCCUUCGGGGAAAGCAGAGACAGGUGGUGCAAGGUUGUCGUCAGCUCGUGUCGUGAGAUGUUGGGUAAAGUCCCGCAACGAGCGCAACCCCUAUUGUUAGUUGCUACGCAAGAGCACUCUAGCGAGACUGCCGUUGACAAAACGGAGGAAGGUGGGGACGACGUCAAAUCAUCAUGCCCCUUAUAUCCUGGGCUACACACGUAAUACAAUGGCGGUCAACAGAGGGAAGCAAAGCCGCGAGGCAGAGCAAACCCCCAAAAGCCGUCCCAGUUCGGAUUGUAGGCUGCAACUCGCCUGCAUGAAGUCGGAAUCGCUAGUAAUCGCGGAUCAGCAUGCCGCGGUGAAUACGAUCCCGGGCCUUGUACUCACCGCCCGUCA